ACGGAAUAGAUACCCAGGUAGUCCACGCCCUAAACGAUGUCAACUGGUUGUUGGGAAUUCAUUUUCUCAGUAAACGAAAGCUAAACGCGUGAAGUUGACCGCCUGGGGAGUACGGCCGCAAGGCUAAAACUCAAAGGAAUUGACGGGGACCCGCACAAGCGGUGGAUGAUGUGGUUUAAUUCGAUGCAACGCGAAAAACCUUACCCACCCUUGACAUGUACGGAACUUGCCAGAGAUGGCUUGGUGCCCGAAAGGGAGCCGUAACACAGGUGCUGCAUGGCUGUCGUCAGCUCGUGUCGUGAGAUGUUGGGUUAAGUCCCGCAACGAGCGCAACCCUUGCCAUUAGUUGCUACGAAAGGGCACUCUAAUGGGACUGCCGGUGACAAACCGGAGGAAGGUGGGGAUGACGUCAAGUCCUCAUGGCCCUUAUAGGUGGGGCUACACACGUCAUACAAUGGCUGGUACAGAGGGUUGCCAACCCGCGAGGGGGAGCUAAUCCCACAAAGCCAGUCGUAGUCCGGAUCGCAGUCUGCAACUCGACUGCGUGAA
This 549-nucleotide ribosomal RNA is filed under the name uncultured bacterium. RNAcentral's name for it is "bacterial SSU rRNA". It matches the Rfam family "Bacterial small subunit ribosomal RNA", at positions 772 to 1324 of the family's 1533-position model. The record is from RNAcentral.